GACGAACGCUGGCGGCGUGCCUAAUACAUGCAAGUCGAACGCUUCUUUCCUCCCGAGUGCUUGCACUCAAUUGGAAAGAGGAGUGGCGGACGGGUGAGUAACACGUGGGUAACCUACCCAUCAGAGGGGGAUAACACUUGGAAACAGGUGCUAAUACCGCAUAACAGUUUAUGCCGCAUGGCAUAAGAGUGAAAGGCGCUUUCGGGUGUCGCUGAUGGAUGGACCCGCGGUGCAUUAGCUAGUUGGUGAGGUAACGGCUCACCAAGGCCACGAUGCAUAGCCGACCUGAGAGGGUGAUCGGCCACACUGGGACUGAGACACGGCUCAGACUCCUACGGGAGGCAGCAGUAGGGAAUCUUCGGCAAUGGACGAAAGUCUGACCGAGCAACGCCGCGUGAGUGAAGAAGGUUUUCGGAUCGUAAAACUCUGUUGUUAGAGAAGAACAAGGACGUUAGUAACUGAACGUCCCCUGACGGUAUCUAACCAGAAAGCCAUGGCUAACUACGUG
RNAcentral lists this ribosomal RNA (508 nucleotides) under uncultured bacterium. RNAcentral's name for it is "partial 16S ribosomal RNA". It matches the Rfam family "Bacterial small subunit ribosomal RNA", at positions 28 to 507 of the family's 1533-position model. The record is from RNAcentral.